UUGUUCAUUCUUUUGGAUAAAUUUAGAAGUUGUAUUUACUUUCAACUUGUUAAAUGCAGUCAGUUAGUAGAGAAUAUGUAGAGUUCCUUGGGCUUGUAAAUAGGGAGCUGCAUCGCUACAAGGAAAUCAUUGAAAUGGAAACUUGUUAUGUUCAUUGUGAGGAUAAUGUCAUCUUCAAUUUUUUUGUGCAUGACCAACUAGAGCAGAGAUUAACAUCCAAGAGGCAACAAUGAGUUGUUUCUAGUUCUAUUGGUAGCAGAGAAAUGUCUUAAAAAGUCAAUCAGUCCAAUGAUCUGCACUCAUGGUUUCUAGUUUUUCAGGCUGUGCUGAUCCUCUUCCUCUGGGGUCUUUUCAUGUGGCUGGGAUGUUGGCAUUGAUUUGGGUGAUUGGGCUUGCUUGGAUCAGAUCUUGGCUGCAAGAAUUUUUAUAUAAGCUUCUUCUAGUCACGUUUAGCUUCUUGAAACUAGACCCCCUGGUGUUUUGAGUCCAAAAAUAGUUCUUGUCUGCAUCAAUUCAGUCAAAUGGAGAUUAAUCAUGUGCUUGAUUUAUUAGUUUCUUUUGGUAUUUAAGUUUCUCACCAACACACUAAUGGCGUAAUUCUACCAAACUUUGUUUUUUGUUUGAUUAUUAGAGACCUUGUAUCAUUUUAGUAAUUGUUGACUCACAAUUUAGCCUAAUUACUCCUUUCUCUGUCUAGAAAUUUUUGUUUUCUUUCAUUGAGGCAUUUUGUGGGAUGUUGUUAUCCAACAGGAUGUUCUUGGGAACUCAUCUAGAUUUUUUGUAGCCAUUGGGCAGUGAAUAUUCUGAAUCUGAAAUUUCUUUGUAGUGUUCCUCUUUUCAGAGCCUUUUGGCAGUUUAUUUUGCUAUUUUGGGUGUUGCUGAGCAAGAAAUGUUUUAGCUAGCUGGCAUACUUCUUCUAGCUUAACUA
Humulus lupulus (European hop) is the source of this 928-nucleotide long non-coding RNA. RefSeq lists it as uncharacterized. The record is from RefSeq and is a predicted model, not a curated record. The transcript is spliced from 3 exons. Lineage: Eukaryota; Viridiplantae; Streptophyta; Magnoliopsida; Rosales; Cannabaceae.